Molecule: long non-coding RNA, 350 nt
Filed under: Olea europaea (common olive)
Lineage: Eukaryota; Viridiplantae; Streptophyta; Magnoliopsida; Lamiales; Oleaceae
Description: long non-coding RNA (OEUR_LNC004238)
Source: RNAcentral
UCCACUGGCAAAGGACGGACGCUAUCAAACCUGGCAGAGCAGAGGUCGUGAGUUCGAAACAUGAGGCUCUUGGAAGGCCGGAUUUAUUCUUGGAAGGCAAGGGAACAUUUGGAAGGCAAGGAUUUAUUCUUGGAAGGCAAGUGGGAACUUGGAAGGCAAGAAUUAUUCUUGGAAGGCAAGGUGCAACUUGGAUUGGCUUGCUUGGCACUUUGUCAGACCAGGUGGGGAGCGCUCGGACCCUGGCCAGUUGGAGGCACAUCCUGCGAUUAACCGGACUGUGUGAAGAGGGGCCGGAUCACAGACCCAAGGAUUAGUCUAGAAUAGGACACCUUGUAAAAAAAAAAAAAAAA